Molecule: ribosomal RNA, 219 nt
Filed under: uncultured bacterium
Lineage: Bacteria
Description: partial 16S ribosomal RNA
Rfam family: Bacterial small subunit ribosomal RNA
Source: RNAcentral
CGUGAGGAACCUGCCUUGGAGAGGGGAAUAACACUCCGAAAGGAGUGCUAAUACCGCAUAAUGCAGUUGGGUCGCAUGGCUCUGACUGUCAAAGAUUUAUCGCUCUGAGAUGGCCUCGCGUCUGAUUAGCUAGUAGGCGGGGUAACGGCCCACCUAGGCGACGAUCAGUAGCCGGACUGAGAGGUUGACCGGCCACAUUGGGACUGAGACACGGCCCAG